GGGUUGUGAGGUUAAGCGACUAAGCGUACACGGUGGAUGCCCUGGCAGUCAGAGGCGAUGAAGGACGUGCUAAUCUGCGAUAAGCGUCGGUGAGGUGAUAUGAACCGUUAUAACCGGCGAUUUCCGAAUGGGGAAACCCAGUGUGUUUCGACACACUAUCAUUAACUGAAUCCAUAGGUUAAUGAGGCGAACCGGGGGAACUGAAACAUCUAAGUACCCCGAGGAAAAGAAAUCAACCGAGAUUCCCCCAGUAGCGGCGAGCGAACGGGGAGGAGCCCAGAGCCUGAAUCAGUGUGUGUGUUAGUGGAAGCGUCUGGAAAGGCGUGCGAUACAGGGUGACAGCCCCGUACACAAAAAUGCACAUAUUGUGAGCUCGAUGAGUAGGGCGGGACACGUGGUAUCCUGUCUGAAUAUGGGGGGACCAUCCUCCAAGGCUAAAUACUCCUGACUGACCGAUAGUGAACCAGUACCGUGAGGGAAAGGCGAAAAGAACCCCGGCGAGGGGAGUGAAAAAGAACCUGAAACCGUGUACGUACAAGCAGUGGGAGCCUCUUAAUGGGGUGACUGCGUACCUUUUGUAUAAUGGGUCAGCGACUUAUAUUCUGUAGCAAGGUUAACCGAAUAGGGGAGCCGAAGGGAAACCGAGUCUUAACUGGGCGUUAAGUUGCAGGGUAUAGACCCGAAACCCGGUGAUCUAGCCAUGGGCAGGUUGAAGGUUGGGUAACACUAACUGGAGGACCGAACCGACUAAUGUUGAAAAAUUAGCGGAUGACUUGUGGCUGGGGGUGAAAGGCCAAUCAAACCGGGAGAUAGCUGGUUCUCCCCGAAAGCUAUUUAGGUAGCGCCUCGUGAAUUCAUCUCCGGGGGUAGAGCACUGUUUCGGCAAGGGGGUCAUCCCGACUUACCAACCCGAUGCAAACUGCGAAUACCGGAGAAUGUUAUCACGGGAGACACACGGCGGGUGCUAACGUCCGUCGUGAAGAGGGAAACAACCCAGACCGCCAGCUAAGGUCCCAAAGUCAUGGUUAAGUGGGAAACGAUGUGGGAAGGCCCAGACAGCCAGGAUGUUGGCUUAGAAGCAGCCAUCAUUUAAAGAAAGCGUAAUAGCUCACUGGUCGAGUCGGCCUGCGCGGAAGAUGUAACGGGGCUAAACCAUGCACCGAAGCUGCGGCAGCGACACUAUGUGUUGUUGGGUAGGGGAGCGUUCUGUAAGCCUGUGAAGGUGGCCUGUGAGGGUUGCUGGAGGUAUCAGAAGUGCGAAUGCUGACAUAAGUAACGAUAAAGCGGGUGA
Molecule: ribosomal RNA, 1291 nt
Filed under: Escherichia coli
Lineage: Bacteria; Pseudomonadati; Pseudomonadota; Gammaproteobacteria; Enterobacterales; Enterobacteriaceae
Description: partial 23S ribosomal RNA
Rfam family: Bacterial large subunit ribosomal RNA
Source: RNAcentral